Molecule: ribosomal RNA, 573 nt
Filed under: Saturnispora silvae
Lineage: Eukaryota; Fungi; Ascomycota; Pichiomycetes; Pichiales; Pichiaceae
Description: eukaryotic LSU rRNA
Rfam family: Eukaryotic large subunit ribosomal RNA
Source: RNAcentral
CAAUAAGCGGAGGAAAAGAAACCAACAGGGAUUGCCUCAGUAGCGGCGAGUGAAGCGGCAAAAGCUCCAUUUUGAAAGCUCUUCGGAGCGUUGUAGAUUGGUGGGAAGCUAACGGCUGGUGGGAGACCAAGUCCUCUGGAACGAGGCGCCAUAGAGGGUGAGAGCCCCGUGUGUCUCCUUUACCGACCUUUCAGCCCCCUCCGCGGAGUCGAGUUGUUUGGGAAUGCAGCUCUAAGUGGGUGGUAAAUUCCAUCUAAGGCUAAAUAUUGGCGAGAGACCGAUAGCGAACAAGUACAGUGAUGGAAAGAUGAAAAGCACUUUGAAAAGAGAGUGAAACAGUACGUGAAAUUGUUGAAAGGGAAGGGUAUUUGGCCCGACAUGGGUCCUAUGCACCGUUGCCUCUCGUGGGCGGCGCUCUGCUUGGGCCUGGGCCAGCGUCAGUUUGGAGGGGGCGAGAAGGGUUUUGGGGAGUUGCCUAGCAAUUCCCCUUUGCUAGAUUGCCCCACACCGGACUGAGGACCGCCAUCUGUAGGAUGCUGGCACAACGGCCAAAUACCGCCCGUCUUGAAACAC